AAAAAAAAGCAAACUUCAAAAUAAAAUACAAUCUGUGCCUGACUAAUCCCUUUUUAUUCAGUCACUAAGUCGUGUCCAACUCUUGGCAACCUCAUGAACUGCAACAUGCCUUUCGAUCUUUCUCAUCAUGUUCAUCAACAGGGUUUUAUGUACCCAAAAGGCAAGGCACUUUUUUGCUUCAAAAUAUCUUUAGCAGAGGAAAUUGUGGUAACAGAGUUGAAAAACGAUUUGAGGUGCAUUUUUUUUUUUUUUGGACAUUCUAAGUCGCUUCAGUCAUGUCCAACUCUUUGCGACCCUAUGGACUGUAGCCCAUCAGGCUCCUCUAUCCAUGGGAUUCUCCAGGCAAGAAUACUGGGGUGGGUUGCCAUUUCCCUCUCUAGGGGAUCCUCCCCACCCAGGGAUCAAACCCAUGUCUCCUAGAGUCUCCUGCAUUGGCAGAUGGGUUCUUUACCACUGUGCCACCUGGGAGGCCUCCUAUUCCCCAAAAGCCUUUAAUGGCCCAUCAAACAAAGACUAGAGCUUUAGCAUGGCAUUUCCAAUCAGCAUGCCCUUUUAUUCUGAUCUUCCCUCUUUUUUUUUUUUUUUUUUUUUGGUCUGCUUCCCACCUGUCUCACUCCCUAUAUUCAGACCACGCUAGCCUGCUGGACACAGACACGACCUCACCAUUCCUGUUCAUCAUCUCUCUUGGGGUUUAUUCCCUUUCUGUAGAAUACCAAUUGCUUCAUCCCCACACAACUCACAUUCUUCACAUGCUACAAUGCCCAAUUCAAAGGUUACCUUGUCUUCAAGGUCUUCUCCCUUUCAUGAUCUUUCUGUCCUUUAUUACAUUCUACCUUUGAAAUUGUGGAAGUGUUUCCUCCCCUGCCUCCAUGACCCCUGAUGUAAACUCUUUACAGGCAGGGGCCAAUGUCUUGAAGCAUUUUGGUACCUACGAUAUGUCUGAACACAGCAGAUACCAAAUAAAUAUCCUUUUUGAUUGAAUGGCUAAAAAUAGCCACCAUUUCUUGAGGGCAUUUUACAUGCCACGCACUGUGCUAAGUACUUCACAUGCCUUAUCUCAUUUGACCCCCUCAAAACUAUUGGGUUUCUUUGGGCUGCACCACAGAGCUUGUGGAAUCUUAAUUCCCCAACCAGGGAUCAAACCCAUGCCCUCCACAGGGAAAGUGCAGAGUCCUAACCACUGGACAGCCAGGAAAUUCCCCUCAAAAUUACUAUUAUGCUCAUUUUACAAAUGAGGUAACUGGUACUUCAAGGCUAAGCAACUAACCAUGAUGGUACAAUUGAAAAGCAGUGGGGCUGGAAUCUCAACUUCAACUUGCCAGGUUCUGGAGCCAAACCCUCCACUACUGUAUUUUCCUGCCUCUGAAUCCAAGACAGACAUAUCUGCGCAAACAGAAAAUAUAAGUGAGUUCUGAUGGGAUUUAAUAAAAAUAGUGAACCCCUCCCCCACAGUGGUUUAACUCAAAAUGGAUUAAAGAUCUCAACAUAAGACCAGAAACUAUAAAACUCCUAGAGGAGAACAUAGGCAAAACACUCUCUGACAUACAUCACAGCAGGAUCCUCUAUGACCCACCUCCCAGAAUAUUGGAAAUAAAAGCAAAAAUAAACAAAUGGGACCUAAUUAAACUUAAAAGCUUCUGCACAUCAAAGGAAACUAUUAGCAAGGUGAAAAGACAGCCUUCAGAAUGGGAGAAAAUAAUAGCAAAUGAAGCAACCGACAAACAACUAAUCUCAAAAAUAUACAAGCAACUCCUACAGCUCAACUCCAGAAAAUAAAUGACCCAAUCAAAAAUGGGCCAAAGAUCUAAAUAGACAUUUCUCCAAAGAAGACAUACAGAUGGCUAACAAACACAUGAAAAGAUGCUCAACAUCACUCAUUAUCAGAGAAAUGCAAAUCAAAACCACUAUGAGAUACCAUUUCACACCAGUCAGAAUGGCUGCGAUCCAAAAGUCUACAAAUAAUAAAUGCUGGAGAGGGUGUGGAGAAAAG
This is a long non-coding RNA of Bos grunniens (domestic yak), 1990 nucleotides long. NCBI's taxonomy places the organism in Eukaryota, Metazoa, Chordata, Mammalia, Artiodactyla, Bovidae. The record is from Ensembl.